RNAcentral lists this ribosomal RNA (497 nucleotides) under uncultured bacterium. Its description in RNAcentral is "partial 16S ribosomal RNA". It matches the Rfam family "Bacterial small subunit ribosomal RNA", at positions 28 to 507 of the family's 1533-position model. The record is from RNAcentral.
GACGAACGCUGGCGGCGUGCCUAAUACAUGCAAGUAGAACGCUGAAGAGAGGAGCUUACUCUUCUUGGAUGAGUUGCGAACGGGUGAGUAACGCGUAGGUAACCUGCCUUGUAGCGGGGGAUAACUAUUGGAAACGAUAGCUAAUACCGCAUAACAAUGGAUGACACAUGUCAUUUAUUUGAAAGGGGCAAUUGCUCCACUACAAGAUGGACCUGCGUUGUAUUAGCUAGUAGGUGAGGUAAUGGCUCACCUAGGCGACGAUACAUAGCCGACCUGAGAGGGUGAUCGGCCACACUGGGACUGAGACACGGCCCAGACUCCUACGGGAGGCAGCAGUAGGGAAUCUUCGGCAAUGGGGGCAACCCUGACCGAGCAACGCCGCGUGAGUGAAGAAGGUUUUCGGAUCGUAAAGCUCUGUUGUAAGUCAAGAACGGGUGUGGGAGUGGAAAGUUCACACUGUGACGGUAGCUUACCAGAAAGAGACGGCUAACUACGUG